CCUACGGGGGGCAGCAGUGGGGAAUAUUGCACAAUGAGCGCAAGCCUGAUGCAGCCAUGCCGCGUGUGUGAAGAAGGCCUUCGGGUUGUAAAGCACUUUCAGCGGGGAGGAAGGCGUUAAGGUUAAUAACCUUGUCGAUUGACGUUACCCGCAGAAGAAGCACCGGCUAACUCCGUGCCAGCAGCCGCGGUAAUACGGAGGGUGCAAGCGUUAAUCGGAAUUACUGGGCGUAAAGCGCACGCAGGCGGUCUGUCAAGUCGGAUGUGAAAUCCCCGGGCUCAACCUGGGAACUGCAUUCGAAACUGGCAGGCUAGAGUCUUGUAGAGGGGGGUAGAAUUCCAGGUGUAGCGGUGAAAUGCGUAGAGAUCUGGAGGAAUACCGGUGGCGAAGGCGGCCCCCUGGACAAAGACUGACGCUCAGGUGCGAAAGCGUGGGGAGCAAACAGGAGUAGAUACCCGAGUAGUC
Molecule: ribosomal RNA, 465 nt
Filed under: uncultured Klebsiella sp.
Lineage: Bacteria; Pseudomonadati; Pseudomonadota; Gammaproteobacteria; Enterobacterales; Enterobacteriaceae
Description: bacterial SSU rRNA
Rfam family: Bacterial small subunit ribosomal RNA
Source: RNAcentral